Molecule: ribosomal RNA, 502 nt
Filed under: uncultured bacterium
Lineage: Bacteria
Description: bacterial SSU rRNA
Rfam family: Bacterial small subunit ribosomal RNA
Source: RNAcentral
AGAGUUUGAUCCUGGCUCAGAUUGAACGCUGGCGGCAUGCCUAACACAUGCAAGUCGAACGGAAACGAUGGAAGCUUGCUUCCAGGCGUCGAGUGGCGGACGGGUGAGUAAUACUUAGGAAUCUACCCAGUAGCGGGGGACAACUCGAGGAAACUCGAGCUAAUACCGCAUACGCCCUACGGGGGAAAGCAGGGGAUCUUCGGACCUUGCACUAUUGGAUGAGCCUAAGUCGGAUUAGCUAGUUGGUGAGGUAAAGGCUCACCAAGGCGACGAUCCGUAGCUGGUUUGAGAGGACGAUCAGCCACACUGGGACUGAGACACGGCCCAGACUCCUACGGGAGGCAGCAGUGGGGAAUAUUGGACAAUGGGGGCAACCCUGAUCCAGCAAUGCCGCGUGUGUGAAGAAGGCCUGCGGGUUGUAAAGCACUUUCAGUAGAGAAGAAAAGCUUACGGUUAAUAACCGUGGGUCUUGACGUUACCUACAGAAGAAGCUCCGCUAACU